RNAcentral lists this small nucleolar RNA (130 nucleotides) under Chinchilla lanigera (long-tailed chinchilla). RNAcentral describes it as "Small nucleolar RNA SNORA70 (ENSCLAG00000019459.1)". It matches the Rfam family "Small nucleolar RNA SNORA70". From Rfam's summary of the family: snoRNA U70 seems to be exclusive to mammals and is a member of the H/ACA class of snoRNA which contain H (ANANNA) and ACA box motifs. H/ACA box snoRNAs are involved in the conversion of uridines to pseudouridines (5-ribosyluracil) a constituent of structural RNAs (transfer, ribosomal, small nuclear, and small nucleolar). The record is from Rfam by way of RNAcentral. Lineage: Eukaryota; Metazoa; Chordata; Mammalia; Rodentia; Chinchillidae.
CUGCAUCCAAUUAAAUUGCUUUCCUUUACUGGUGGGUGGCCAGUAUUCAAUGGCUGCAAACAGCAACCUCCUGAGUAGUGUACUCACCUGUUGCUGGCAUGUGUUGCCCUAAGGGACCUUGCAGACCUGC